ACUCUAAGAGGUGCUUGCACCUCUGGCGUCGAGCCCCUGACGGGUGAGUAAUGCUUGGGAAUAUGCCUUAUGGUGGGGGACAACAGUUGGAAACGACUGCUAAUACCGCAUGAUGUCUACGGAGCAAAGUGGGGGACCUUCGGGCCUCACGCCAUAAGAUUAGCCCAAGUGGGAUUAGCUAGUUGGUGAGGUAAUGGCUCACCAAGGCGACGAUCCCUAGCUGGUUUGAGAGGAUGAUCAGCCACACUGGGACUGAGACACGGCCCAGACUCCUACGGGAGGCAGCAGUGGGGAAUAUUGCACAAUGGGCGCAAGCCUGAUGCAGCCAUGCCGCGUGUGUGAAGAAGGCCUUCGGGUUGUAAAGCACUUUCAGUAAGGAGGAAAGGUUAAGUGUUAAUAGCGCUUAGCUGUGACGUUACUUACAGAAGAAGCACCGGCUAACUCCGUGCCAGCAGCCGCGGUAAUACGGAGGGUGCGAGCGUUAAUCGGAAUUACUGGGCGUAAAGCGUACGCAGGCGGUUUGUUAAGCGAGAUGUGAAAGCCCCGGGCUCAACCUGGGAACUGCAUUUCGAACUGGCAAACUAGAGUGUGAUAGAGGGUGGUAGAAUUUCAGGUGUAGCGGUGAAAUGCGUAGAGAUCUGAAGGAAUACCGAUGGCGAAGGCAGCCACCUGGGUCAACACUGACGCUCAUGUACGAAAGCGUGGGUAGCAAACAGGAUUAGAUACCCUGGUAG
This 734-nucleotide ribosomal RNA is filed under the name uncultured Pseudoalteromonas sp. RNAcentral describes it as "bacterial SSU rRNA". It matches the Rfam family "Bacterial small subunit ribosomal RNA", at positions 66 to 793 of the family's 1533-position model. Lineage: Bacteria; Pseudomonadati; Pseudomonadota; Gammaproteobacteria; Alteromonadales; Pseudoalteromonadaceae. The record is from RNAcentral.